This 201-nucleotide long non-coding RNA is filed under the name Linum usitatissimum (flax). RNAcentral describes it as "long non-coding RNA (LUSI_LNC000851)". The record is from RNAcentral. Lineage: Eukaryota; Viridiplantae; Streptophyta; Magnoliopsida; Malpighiales; Linaceae.
UUCAUGGAGGAUGAAGAGGCGGCCGCCGGUGAUGUAAGAAGAACCGUUAAGGGACCAGAAAAUUAAAAAUUAAAGAAGAAUAAAGGAGAGAGGGAGAUAUUAACGGAAAUGUGUGGGAGAGCAGAGAGUAGAGAGCCAAUGGGAGAGUGUUGGCAGACUGGAGACUGUGACUUUUGGGAGAAAAUAAUUAUUAACAAAAUC